Molecule: ribosomal RNA, 254 nt
Filed under: uncultured bacterium
Lineage: Bacteria
Description: partial 16S ribosomal RNA
Rfam family: Bacterial small subunit ribosomal RNA
Source: RNAcentral
UACGAAGGGGGGCUAGCGUUGCUCGGAAUUAUUGGGCGUAAAGCGCACGUAGGCGGCUUUGCAAGUCGGAUGUGAAAUCCCUCGGCUUAACCAAGGAAGUGCAUCCGAAACUGCAGAGCUUGAGUACUUAAGAGGAUCGCGGAAUUCCCGGUGUAGAGGUGAAAUUCGUAGAUAUCGGGAGGAACACCAGUGGCGAAGGCGGCGAUCUGGGAAGAUACUGACGCUGAGGUGCGAAAGCGUGGGGAGCAAACAGG